This 256-nucleotide long non-coding RNA is filed under the name Nicotiana benthamiana. RNAcentral describes it as "long non-coding RNA (NBEN_LNC034723)". Lineage: Eukaryota; Viridiplantae; Streptophyta; Magnoliopsida; Solanales; Solanaceae. The record is from RNAcentral.
UUUUUGAUGUUUGGGCAAUUUGAUUUGAUGUGCCCGGUUUCUCCGAAUUCAUAGCACUUUAUUUGUUCUCCUUGCUUUUUGCCCUUUCGUUCAUACUCUAUUCGCAUGAACUUUUGAAAUCUUUUGAUAACGAGUCCAAACUCAUUGUCUCCAUCCUCAUCAACUUGCGGUUGGCUUGUGCUUGCCUUUAGAGCGAUUCUUUGCCUCCUUUGAUCAUCAACAAGAGGGUUAAGUAUAGUAGAUUCAUAAGUCNNNN